AACAAUAAAACAGAUCUUGACGGCGACUCCCGCCGCCGUCGCUCCACUCCCUCCGCCGCCGCCGCUCGACUCCCGCCGCCGCAGCUCGAACUCCCUCCUCCGACGCCGCUCUCCAAGCCAGCGCAGAGCUCGACUUCCGCCACUGCGUCUUGAUUCCAGCCGCACGCAGUCUCCGGGGACUUCUCCGCCAAUAUCGAGCCACCGCCGCCAGAUCAUCGGUUGGGGAAGGGCUAAAGCGCGGUGAUGGAGGGCAUGAGCUGACGUCUGACGGCGGCGAGUCGAUGGUCCUGUUCGGCUUGAGAAACUAAGUAUCUUCCGUGCACGGUUAACCCAGUAUACAUAUAAGGAGGAUGCAGAAGCUGUAUGGUCCAGACUCCAGAGAGUUAUCACUGUCAUCUACUCCCUCCGUUCCAAAAUAGAUGACCCAACUUUGUAUUAACUUUACAAAGGUAAUACAAAGUUGGGUCAUCUAUUUUGGAACGGGGGGAGUAAUAUGUUUCUGCAGCUUGAUGAAAGGAGUUCCAUUGAAUGACAGUUCAGACUUGCAGUACUAUUAUGAACUGAAGCAAACGACAGUUCAACUGAAACUACAUUUACAUUCAUUCAGGUAUUUCAAAAUAAAAAUUACACAGCAUGUAAACCUGGUUGCAUUUUUAUUCAGCCGAAACCUAAA
Non-coding RNA from Triticum urartu, 673 nucleotides. NCBI's taxonomy places the organism in Eukaryota, Viridiplantae, Streptophyta, Magnoliopsida, Poales, Poaceae. The record is from RefSeq and is a predicted model, not a curated record.